This 253-nucleotide ribosomal RNA is filed under the name uncultured bacterium. RNAcentral describes it as "partial 16S ribosomal RNA". It matches the Rfam family "Bacterial small subunit ribosomal RNA", at positions 524 to 776 of the family's 1533-position model. The record is from RNAcentral.
UACGUAGGGUGCAAGCGUUAAUCGGAAUUACUGGGCGUAAAGCGUGCGCAGGCGGCUUUGCAAGACAGAUGUGAAAUCCCCGGGCUCAACCCGGGAACUGCGUCCGAUACUGGAAGGCUUGAAUCCGGAAGAGGCGAGUGGAAUUCCUGGUGUAGCGGUGAAAUGCGCAGAUAUCAGGAGGAACACCGAUUGCGAAGGCAGCUCGCUGGGACGUUACUGACGCUGAGACGCGAAAGCGUGGGGAGCAAACAGG